This is a long non-coding RNA of Gasterosteus aculeatus aculeatus (three-spined stickleback), 20076 nucleotides long. The record is from Ensembl. Lineage: Eukaryota; Metazoa; Chordata; Actinopteri; Perciformes; Gasterosteidae.
AUACACAAAGAUGAAGGGAUUUGAAAGAGAGUAAACAGUUUGCUUGUUAAUAGAAAGUUUUCUGUUCACUUGGUGCAUCAGAGUGUGUUCUUCGUAUGUUCAACCCACCGCCCUCCAGGAGGCUUGUGUGGGGUUUUAGAAAGGGAUGACAGGAUCAGAAAUGGUGUAGCAUACGAACAUGAGAGCUGCGCACCUAGAUAGACACGUGUUCACGAGCACACACACACAUGCCCUGCACAAUGCGACUGCUUGAACCUGCUCCCCGGGCUGCCUGUAGGCCCACCAACAUUGAAUCAUUAGCAGGCUCUAUUUUAAGGUCCAGGCCACAAGAGAGAACAUUUUCUAAAUUCUUGUUUUCAUGAAAUUUCAUUCUCCAAAUGUAAUAAUAAACAUUCAAGAAGAAAUCAGUAGGGAAACUUAAAAAUGUGUACAUAUCCAUUAAAACGAAUCUACUUAGACUUUAUUGACUCUGUGGUAUUGAAAUAAAGUUAAAAGAGUACUUUAAAUGUAUUUUGCUGACAGGAAAACUGAGUUGUUUGCGGGGAGAUUUUCACAUUAUUUAACUCUUAACUCCAGUGCAUCUACCGUGCAGCAUUACACACAAUGAGGGUCAAUGCAAGAUGUAUAUAGUUAUAGCGAUCAGCUCAUUGCUUCUGAACUGCUGCACAUAGUUUCAUCCUCCAGCAUCGGAUAACAUUGUGGAGGCUUACUGGGUGAACAAAGUGAAUUCAUUGAUUUAACUUUGUUACGGUGAAAAUUUCCGGCAAAAGAUGGGAUCGAUUCAAUCAGUCGAACCUUUAUGAUUAGGACAGCGAUGGUAUGAAAUCAAGCAGUUUUUUCAGGUGUCAAAUAUAGCUUAAAUAUCUUCAUUUUGGGACAUGCGGUUAAAUAUCAGUACAAUGCACAAUGAUAGGAAAUCAUUUUCCCCGUGAAUGUUUAAUGUUAGGAAACUGUAAAAAAAAACUUAGUGCUGUAGCGUUUGUUUUUUCCUAAUGUAAUAAAGCAGAAAAGUAAACCUUUUGUAGGGAUCAUUCCAGUGUGUUUUUAUCAAAUAUAAUUAAGACAACAUGGCUACCUCAUCCUCGCCAAUAUACUACAUAUACAUAAUAUAUACUUCAGGAAAAAUACUCUAUCGAAUAUAUUGUGUUGGGUGGCAGCACAAGAGGGAGAGAUGGAUUUAAGGAGGAGUUAUUGUAAAAUAAAAAAGGAUCAUUGGGAGAUGGGAUGAAGAUAGGAGCUGUGCAUGAAGUACAGAAUGAUUUACAGGGUGAAUAUUUAAAAUGUUACAGGUAUAAUGAAGUACUGUAAGAUACCGGUGUAAAUUAACCAUUAAUUUACAGUGUAAUAAUAGCUCAUGUGUUCAUAUUGGGGAGGGACGCACUAAAUUAAUAUCCCUUAUACGUAUACAGUUCCCUACACAGUUUGACCGCUGUUUCUUUCUCAUAAAUCAUUUUACAAAUAUUAGGCCACACACACUAACGUCCAUGGGAGAUAACAAAGUGUGUAGUGAGAUGGUGUGACCUACCCUCUGUUUAUGAGCAGACGUUAAUAAUUGUCAAAUUACAAUCACCUCUUGCAGGAUUUAAUAAUUCACAAAGACACAAUUCCCACUCACACACAUGUACACACACAGAUUUUCUCCAGGGGGAGCAGGAGCAGCAGCAUCCAGGAGGACCGGCUAAAUGAUCUCACUGUUGGCAUGGCGAUGGCCCGUUAGAAAAAAUAGCUACUCCUCCUCCCCAGCUGAGCUCCUCUGAGCUGCCAAGGACGAGAUCCGAGUGAAUGACUGAAUACCAUAAAAAGAGCGAGAAUAGCUGAAAACCAGGUAGGAACAAGACGCAGAUGAGGAAGAGAUGGAGCAGAUGCCAUGAUGGAUAAAUGAAGCAAAGACUAGAUGAGCAGCCGGGGAUUUUUCAUGAGCAUCUGGGGCUUGGUGAGCUUCAGUAACAUGAAGUAACUGAAAAUGAAAAAUAGUAUUAAAUGUUAAGUUUUGCUCCUCAUAGCAACAAUUGAAUUCGUUAUUAUAUUCAAACAUUCUAACAACCCACUCAACAAAUACCGAAGCUUCGUCUGAGGCCCUCGGCUUCAAACGACGACACUAAACCUCUUGGGUUGUUUCUGACUGAGACGGGCUGUCAAUUUCUGCUUAUUACGCAUAUGGUGCCUUUGCAAAAUAAAGUACUAUGUUAAUUUGCCUAUUAUCUGCAUGCACAUCGCCCCUGUCAGAGUAAACUAACGCUAACACUAACUUACUUUUCAAUUUACUUACACAAAAAAAUACUUGGUUACUUUUAUUAAGCAUCAAAACUAUUUGGUUAUGCCGAGGCAAAGUUGGUGGUUUGGCUUAAAAUGAAUAUUAAAAUGAUUAAAGCGAGCAUGUGCAAAUAUUUCUACUUCUCCAAUAACGUUAGUAAAGUCUGAAAGGUUAUAAAACUAUAGUAAAAUGACACAAUAUUGACUUUGUUUCAAACAGGACACCAACAACCAUCUCCUUACUAAAAGUAAUCUUUUUGUUUGACCCAGAUUUGUGAGUUUUAUCAUCCUCUAUACUAAUAAUAGUAUGUUGAUAUUUUCGGGUCUAACGAAAAAAAACACAUCCACAUGUCUCACUUGACAGCCAGUGUCAUUGUCUUCUUUCACUUUUGAACCACUUUCAAAUACUCAAGUAGAAAUGUUUUUCAACAUAAACAUAGUGAUAAUAUUGAAUCCACAGCACAAAAAUCCCAAAGAAAACCAGGUACCUGUAUUAGGCAACAAUUUAAAUAUAAUAUGUUCUGUAAAUACAAUGACAUAGAGAAUACAUGAUUGUUAAAGUGCAAACAAUAACCACAUAUACCUUUCUGUCUUUAAAUGCAGUUGUAAAGGCCAGUAACUUUUCUGCCAUAUUUCAGAUGCAAUUCCUUAUUUGUGAGAAAAGAAAUUUCAAUCUAGCUCUGUUAGUAAUGUUUUAUACGUGUAUGGAUUAAAUAACAUGCAUUAAAAAUACAUAAAUAUUAUCAAACAUUUGAUUUCAUUUGUACAUAGAAAACAUACUGUAUCCAAAGAUGUAGGUGCGGUAUAAAAUUUACGCCUGGAACACAAGUGAAAAAGCCGAACGAGGCGACCGAAAUAAACCUUACUGCAGUUAAGAGAAGUCAAAUAAGCAGCACUCGGCCACAGGUGGGAAAAUGCUUCAGGUUGGAACCUCAGAUGAUUGUACCCAUUUUCUGUAAUCCACAUACAUUAUCUUGUGAUUUAAAUCUCCAUGGAUACAGGUAGGAAUGCCUAUGCAGUCCAAAUUAAGCACUGGUAUAAUGCUUGCAUUGUUAUAAACAAGCAUGAUCACAGUGAGCUAUAUGGCACCCUACUAAAUAAUUACACACCUCAAAAUUCAAUCGCUGGUACGUGUGUGUGUGUGUGUGUGUGUGUGUGUGUGUGUGUGUGUGUGUGUGUGUGUGUGUGUGUGUGUGUGUGUGUGUGUGUGUGUGUGUGUGUGUGUGUGUGUGCGUGUGUGCGUGCGUGCGUGCGUGCGUGCGUGCGUGCGUGCGUGCGUGCGUGCGUGCGUGUGUGUGUGUGAAAUCAGGUUCUUUAAAAGGGUACUUUCUUGAUUGGAAAGUGCUGUAAGAACAGUUGGUUCAAUUACCCGCCUAUUACCUCACAUUCAGACUAAGUGAGGCCUUUCUUUGAUGUACUCUUAGUUCAGACUUCAACAGCAGCCUGCCUAGGGAACUAUUUAAAGACAAAGACAAAGAAAAGGCCUGUACUUCCUACCUCAUCAAAGCCUCCACAGCAACCCCCCUGUUUCUACCGUUCCGUUCCCAAGUUGCUGUUUCAAAUCAGCCAGUGUCGACUCUAUGAUUUUCCUCGUCUGUCUGUUGCUUUUGUAGAUAACUUCGGACCAAUCAGCAAGAGGAACCUCGUGUCUUCUUUACCCCAGCAGCUCAAAAAAAGUAAAAAGAAGUCCGCUCUGUGUCUCCUGUUUCUCUCCCCCAUCAGGAGUCAACUUUGGUUUGGCCUCCUUGUUCUACACUACUAAUUGGGUGGCAAGAUAACUGAUGGGUUGAUACAACUUUUCAACAUUUCUUUCGAGUGUGUGGAAAUUCAAACAUUAAACGUGGGGUGGCACUUUAGCCCGACGGACACUCGCUAAAGUCACAAAUGCGGCAAGCAUAAAUCAAGCUUUAUUGUGGAAAGGAUUUCAGAGGAAAAAAUCAUGCACUUUUAGUCAAGAUGAACCUUUAAUUUUUGACCAUUGAAUCAAAGCAGGAGGAGAAUUAGGAGGCAAUUUGGUGGAAACAUUUAAGCAAUAAUUACCGGGUUAUCAUGAAAGUCAGUUAAAUAUUUCUUACCUUGUUUACUCUUUGGAUUUGCAUUCUGAUGAUGCGACGCUCGGAGCCUUGUGUCUCAGAUUUGAGCAAAUAUUCUUUUUUCAUCCUCCAAAUGCAAAUGAAGGUCCGUGGAGACGGUGUCUUCAAACGGAGCCUUUUCUUGCUGCAUGCAUUACCUGUUGCGACACAUAACAAAGACUCUAUUUUCAAUGCGGUGAAGCAAAAAUUUAGAAUUUUGCUUUUAAAAAAAGUCCUCUAUAAUUGCUCUUCAGAAGGGAAAUUACAUUUUUUAACAAAGAGAAUUGCCUAAAACUCCACUAGCAACCCCUCCAGGACACGAUGUUAAUUACAUCACAUAAAUAAUAAAGUGUUGGAUAGAUAUUAAAUGAAUAACACACUGACCAUUUUGUAAUCAGUAGUAACUGGGAGUGAUGCAAAGAAUAUACAUGUUUUAUUGAGAGGCUAUUAAAGAAAAACAUUUAAUUACUCAAACAAUGGUAGCCUUGAGAAACAAUUUAAAGUAUGGUGAGAAGGCGAUGAGACAAAAAGAAAAAAAGCUAUUUCACAAAACCAUAGCAUUGUCUCUUUGUAUACCGGAUUUCUCUGGAUAAGACGAGGGACUAUUUCAAUGAAGAAGGGUCAACAAGAGGAGACCAUUUAAAGGAGGACGGACUUGACCGAAAGAAGGGAAGGAUGACACAAGUUGCUGGACAAUUACAUUACAUUACAGGUCAUUUAGCUGACGCUUUUAUCCAAAGCGACUUACAUUACAUUUUUAAUCCGUGGCUUUUUACAUUUUUGCUCGGGGAGCAAUUAUAGGUUAGGUGUCUUGCUCAGGGACACUUUCGACAUGGAACAUGGGGCAGUCAGGACUUGAACGACCAACCUUGUGCUUCCCAGCACACCCUCUCUACUCCUGCACCACGACGACCCCUUUAGCUGCCUUAAGACAAAAAAGUACAUAUUAUUAUUAUAUUAUAUUAUUAUUUCUUUCUUUCCUUACACAUUUUUCAUCCUCAUCUCUAUUAAACCCCCUCCUCCCUCGCGCUCGUCUUACCUCGUGCAUAUCUCUGUGUCUCCUUCUUGGUAUCUUACACCUCAAAUGGUGCAGAGACAGACUUGCAGUUCGCUUCAUCUACACCGCUUCCCGACAGACAGUUAUGUGCCCUGACGACACACAGGUGUGACAGUGCACUUGCAUGUAACUGCUGCACGCACACGCACACACACACACACACACACACACACACUGUCUGACGACUCACAGAGAUGUGCAUGGUUAUGUGAAAAGCAUUUUACGCACACAAAUGCCCAGUGGAAAGCUACUCAUCGUGUCACACACAUGCAUGCAUUUCCCCACACAUACACAAGGACCAGUCAUCUAUAUGUGCAGCCAAAUGGACCACCAAGUGCUGCCUCACCUCCCAUAAAGCUGCCAUAAGCCCUCUCCGCCUCUGACAAUCGACUGAUUGGUGUUAUAACAAGGCAGGUACUGCGUAUGUGUGUGUGUGUGUGUGUGUGUGUGUGUGUGUGGGUAUGUGUGUGUGUGUGUUUUCUUUGUAUGUGUGGACAAACCACCUCAUACUGCAGGUGUUUAAAUGUUAAAUGUUCUGCAGUCGAAUUAUCUUGGCCAAAGUGAUGCAAUUCCAUAAUAAUAAUAAUAAUAAUAAUUAUCUUCAUAGAUCUGUCAUUAAGACUUUUGUGUUGCUAGCUUUGGACUUUCUUCAAGGUGUCCUCACUUUGGACUUAAUCCCUCUAUAUCUGUCUCUGCAGGCUGUAGGAAUUGGGGCUCAUUCCGUCACCAUAGCAUGCCAAACUCACAGUGAUGGGCCCCUGCCGUUCAGGUGGUAUCCAAAAGGAAAAUGAUCGAAUAGGGGACGCUAGGUCCAAGUAUGCGGGUAGCCCUGGAAAAACAUUUCUUUAUUCUUUAUUUUAUUGUUUUGUGCAUGAGGAGGCUGUUGCCACUAUAAUAAUUAUAGGCUGUACGUUAGAGUGCAACUAGCAUUUGUUUAUUAUGUUCUAUACUCUUUGGAUAUCCAUUAUUCAAACAAUUAGCAUUUUAUUGAUAAUUUACAGGCAAGUCAUCAAAUGUAGACAGGUUUGCAAUACAAUUCGAGUAAGAAGGCUUUGAAUUGUUAAUUAAACCGCUUGACAUGACGUCAACACUUGACAUCAUCACAAUGACUGGCUUUUGCUUAAAAUAUCCGAAUCAAUAUAAGAGUAAAUUCAAGUCCUACAUAAUUUUGACAGGAUCACGAGUAGAUCCCAAAAUACAGGAUAUUCCAUUAGAAAGAAUUAUAAGCUGAAAAGCUGUUCAUUGGGCAUUCUGUUAAUCAAUAGGACCACAAAGAAUCAGGACAGGAUGGCUGAGUGGUCCAAGGCGCUGCGAUCAGGUCGCAGUCUCCUCUGGAGGCGUGGGUUUGAAUCCCACUUCUGACACCAACCUAUGGGGCGUCAGUGGCGCGUGGAUAAGGUCCUCCGGGAACCGCACAGUUGGUGAUUCGUAAAACCCCGGCUCCUCCACGUGUCCCUGAGCAUUACUCUAAACCUCUAAAACUGCUCCCACUGAGUAGGAUGCGUUAAAUGCAAAGAAUGAUUUCAUCAAUAAAGGACACUUUCUAUUUCUUCUUAAAAAAAAAAUCAUAUAAUCGGACAUUAUUUUUCAUUGAUAAUGUUUUUUGUCUUAUGACCUGUGCUCAUAAUUUCUCACUGUUCUACUUGUAAAGGCUAGGGUUCGCCCCCAAGUGCAUGUAUUUGCCGAUAAAUUAUUGGACCAAAAAUAUUCUACCCACUUAUUAACUGCACAGAGGGGUUACCUUAUUUGUGGUAAAUACGAGAGUAUUUACCACAUGCCUUUGCUGCCAAAAUGCGUUCUAACAAACUUUAAUAGGGUCAAGAUAUAUUUUAUAUAAGAACCUUGCUCCUUCACACACACAUUAACAACCUAGAGAUGUAAAUUCGUAUUCUCUUUCCUUUGCUCCUAUUAUAAAAUGGUUGCACUCACUCUUACUGCCUGCCUUUCACUCUUUCUCUUAACAGCCUCUCUCAAGAAAAAAACCCAGAGACCCACUCAAUCGCAGCGGCCCACAGCAAUUGCAGUGCUCCCCAGUGUGGACAGCUCCAUCCAUUGUGUGUGAAUAAUAUCCAAGGUCACUGUGUACUCAGAGGGUGAUCAUAAAAAACAUACUGCUUCUAACCACAGGCCCGAGCACUGAAUUAGACGGAUGCUGAGAGACAGAAGCACAGAGGUAGGAGGUCGGUUUGUGUGUGUGUGUGUUUGUGUACCAUGUCGGUGGACAUGCAGAUGAAUUAGAAACAAACAGUUUGGUCUUAAACUGAGCUCCAUUCACAUAAUGCGUUUUAGAUCACCUUUAAAUACAAUAGUCACUGAUGUUUACCUGUUAAAAUGGGUUAUUUGACAUUUUGGGAAAUAUGCUGUUUGCUUUUAGAUAAAUAAAUCCAUUGUCUCAUUUUGAAUUCAACUCUCUUACCGGUCUAUUAAAAAUAUGAAGCAAGUCAGCAACCCGGUGACCUGCUACCCAUUGCUAGUGUACCAAUAAACAUCAUAACUGACUGUAUGUUGGUCAUUUUAUGCUUCCAUUUCUAUACAGAUUAGACAAACAAAAUGCGGCACUGAGAAGGCAAAUUUGUUUUUCAUGGGUUUUGUUACUCUUGCUAUUUCCUCUUGUUUCCUGGCCAAGCUAAGUUGUGCUUGCUGCACCAUGAACUAUACUACAAAAAGGGUAUUGAUCUUCUCAUCUAAGACUCAAAAGAUAAAUGCAGAGCAGUGUUGCUGUGGUGGCAUUUCACGGGGGUUCAGCAGUCGACAGGUAAGUAAGAAAGACACGGCGUGCCAGAAUCACUAUUUAUUUAGUUUGGACCAUACAGGCUUUUUACUGGUUUCUGGUACACACAUAAAUAUAUAUAAGACUUGAGGCUGUAAUUGCUGCCAAAGGUGCUUCAACAAAGUAUUGAGCAAAGGCUGUGAAUACUUAUGUACAUGUUAUGUUUUCGUUCUUUAUUUUGAACAGAUAGGCUGUAACAUAACAAAAUGUGGAAAAAGUGAAGCGCUGUGAAUACUUUCCGGAUGCACUGUAGGUCGACGCAACCAUUAUGUUAUUGUAAAACCUCAAAUGAAUGCUACAAAACGUGUUCUAUAAAGAUGUAUGAAAGGAAAAUGCUGUAACAAUAUGCUAGUCACUCAAGAUAAAUUAAGACACAGUGCAUCCAAUCCUAAAGACAUGAGAGUUGACCAUAUUACAUGUAGUUAAUUUACUGCUCUCUCAUCCUUCCCCCCUUUAUACACCAGACUAUGUGUUUAAUCAACAUCAAACCAAGAGAAAGAACCCGAGGCACAAAAUGCUAUUUAUAUGAAAUUUAACAUGGAGCAUCAAGGUCACUAUUUCUGCAGAAGACUAUGAAAUGUUGACUAAUAACUAGAAAGAAAAAACACUGGACAUUGAUUUAAGAUUAAUUUCAGAUUAUUUAGCUUGACAGGGUUCAAAUCCAGUCUGUGGCGAUCUUUCGUUAGUUAAAUGAAUUUCUUAAGUGGCUGUGAGUCCAAACAGAAUAUCCCCUUUUGUUCAAAUGUUGGUGCAAGGCUGCAGCCUCGCGACAAAGUAUCAAUACACGUGUUUGGAUGUGUUCCACGAGACGCCACCAAAACGGUUGUCUUGAACCUAAAGGUUUUCUAGCCGCUGACGAUGUACAAUUUAAUCAAAAGUAAAGAAUACAGCAGGAAAACGUAAUUAGCUUGAGUGCCUGACAGCAUUGAGCAGCCGCCAUAGAACGUAUUGUUAUUUUGCUCGACGGGGUUUGAAUCCAGGUAGUGGCGAUCUUUUAAAAAGUAUAUUUUCUUCAAUGUAUCUCACGUGGCAGUGAUGUAGUGCUCACUUAUACAAGCGUAAUCGCUGCAAAGGAUAUGUGAUGCAUUUUGAACAUUCAAUAUGUUUGCAAAUGUGCGACGAAUCAGGUGACAGAGGAGGCAGACAACAUCUGCUGCUGUUAGAAGAACACAAACACACGCGUGUAGGCAAACCAGUAGGUUCAAAAACCAGUAGGGACGUGACAGCGGCGUUGGGCGGGGCCCCUGAUCUCCUCCGUCGCCCUGCCGUGAUUGCUGCUCGUCCACCACACCUGUCCCGUCUGCUCAGCUGCCGCUCUCUGCCAUAUCGUUGUGAAACCCUCAGUGUUGCACACUUUAUUCAGAGCCGCGCCAUACGAACUAUGCUGGGUAUUUUCAACUGUGUUGCAACUAUUUACCUGUCUUGUCAUUGGCUAAUGAGUCAAGCCAAACACCGGAUUUGUAAUCAGGGUACUGGCGUAAAAGUGGUUUUGUUUGCCCGACCGUCGCUGUGUCUCCAUCAAGUGUUGCCUUUGGCCUCAACACUCAACACUAAACGACUGAGCGAUAGCAACUAGCUGGUGAACGUAGUCGAGUGUUUAACAGCAGAAGCUGUUCAGCCAUCUGCCAAAGCCAUAGUUUUUGAAGGUUCAAUGUGUUCAGCAUGUCGUUUAAGCGAGAUAAAAUGCUUUAGUUAAGCAUGUCUCUUUAACAAGUUGUGUAGCUAUUUGCACUACCGUGGAUUCAGUUUAUGUUUUUGACAAGAUGUAGGUGACCAACUCAGUGUUUACCUUGAAGCAUAAUUUUGGACUGAUUUUUGAGCCAAAUGUGUUGUUGCCAGUGCAUGUAUUUAUAUUUCCAUGAGCCAACACAGCAGCGAAAUAAAAACAGUUUUAAAAUAAUCAAAAAUCAGAAAAGAUCAAUUAAGUGUAAGAUUCUAAACUAAGUUAAUAAACUGGGGCAGUUUGUUAUAUGCUCAAGGUUGUCUUUAAGCAUGUACUCCAUGCAAUCUGUUUUAUGCAAAUAAAUAAUUGUAGCUCCAUAUUUUUUCUCAAUCACCACAAAGGAAGUCGGGUUUUUAGAUUCUAGGACCCUGGCUCGGGCAACACAGAGAGACAUGAGCGACUUCCUUGAUGAUUUUCCUUACUUUUUAAAAUAAGGAUUUUCUUUUUAUUUCCGUUUUUGUUUAGUUGUAGUCCAGAAUUGCACUUUAUUCAGUGUUUACAGUUCCCUUUUUUUCUGUGUGUGUGUGUUUGUGUAUGUGUGGCCUGCUUCCCUUUGGGUUCCCCAUGCACCUAAACGUAAUUAGUGUGUUCUUGGUAAUGUCGUCUAAUGGCUUCACAGGAACACUCCGAAAUGCUGAUGAACAUCUGUUUGCCAGAGAACUCACACACACACACACACACACACAGAGCCUCUCCAUCUCUCCAUUCCCCGAUAGUAACACACUUCACUCAGCCUGCCGUCCAAUCAACAUUGUGUGUAUUUAAAACGAUGUGAAGGAUGUUAAUGUCAUGUACCUAAGAGGAGGAAUUCAGUCCAAAAACUCCAAACACCUGUAAUUACAGAAAUAUCUUUGCAUAACAUUCUGCAUUACACAGCAGCUUUAAUUAGCAUUCUAAACAGUCCCAUGGCUCAAACACAGACACACUCAGGAUUUUCAAAAUUCUUCCAGUUGUUUAUCCCCAAAAUGAGGACAAAAAGUGCUGGGGAGAGUUUUAUGCUGGACUUUUUUUUAGUACAUAAAACAAAACAAAACACACACAAACAAACCAACCUGAGGAAUUUAUAACAGGUCAAUGAUAACAUGCUUCCCAUUUACAUGAGAGCAGAUGGCUUGUUAGGAGAUGUGUGUGUGGUCUGGUUGCAGUUUCCUUCCAAGGUCAUAGAACAUCUUAGUGUGUGUGCGUGCGUGCGUGCGUGCGUGCGUGUGCGUGUGUGUGUGUGUGUGUGUGUGUGUGUGUGUGUGUGUGUGUGUGUGUGUGUGUGUGUGUGUUUGUCUGGCAGAGACCCAACCUGCUAUCAGUGUCGCCCCUUCUCUUGGCAACGGAUCCACUGACUAGUUGAGGAAGCAGUGAAUUUGACUCCUCCUCCACUCCUUUCCUCCCCCUCUUCCUGCUCUCUGUCUUGCCUCCAUCACUCUCUCUCUUCUUGUCCUCCCGUCUUUCUUUCAAAUGUCAGCGAGGAACCGGAGGGAAAAGUGUGCAUGUAUGUGACCAGUCAUAGUCAUGUUGAAAAUCCAACAUGUUAAGAGGCACCAAUACCGACCUCUCCUGCGUUACUGCUCAACUGACAUUCAUUUACGGUUCUCCUCUUCCCCCCAGAUGAAGUGACGGUGGGAUGGAGUGAUGAAGAAGAAGGAGAGAGGUGCCAAGAGAGGGAACCAUCUGACGGCAAAAGCUCCAACAAGCUGCCUAAUUGGGCACAAGAGGCAAAAAAGAACUUUGGUGGCGAAACACUUCAAAACACUUUCUAAUACCGUGUAAACACAUCCAGGAGGGGAGCAUACCAGCGUGUGAGUAGUUAUGCACACUCGUACAGAGACGCGUGUUUUCACGAAUGCAGAACAGAGGCACAGAAUGAUGGAGUCAUCUAGUUGAACACAGCAACUACUUUAGGAAACACAAAAAGCUGCACAAACCUCAGGCCUGUUGACGAAGGGCAGAGUGUUACGAUGCAGUGAGUUGGGGGAUUUGUGUCUUCCAGUAACACGUGUAUUAGCCUCCCAGCACAUACACCGGCACACAGAGAGACACACUGACUUAAUAUAAGAGGAGUCCCUCAGAACUCAAUGCAUUAUUUAACAGCCGGACAAGGAUAGCCUCCAGAGCGAGGGCGUGUGUGUGUGUGUGUGUGUGUGUGUGUGUGUGUGUGUGUGUGUGUGUGUGUGUGCGUGUGUGUGACUCUCCUUUCCCAUCUAUAAAUACACCUGCAUCUGAGAAUUCUCGUCCGUCUCUCCCUCUUCACUGGAACUUUUGAACUAUACAGCGUUUUAUCCAACGUUUUAAAUAUUUUCCAACUUCCAUCUAAAUGUCACCUAGCAUAAAAGCAGAAUUCUGUAUCAUGGGACAUUAUGGGGAGAGAGAGAGUGAGUCUGGGUUACUGACUGCUGUUUCUUAUUCAAAACCAGUCAAAUGAAAAUCAAAAUGGUUUUCUCACAUGUGGAGAGAGGUGAUUUUACCUGUGCCUACCUGUGAAACGGCCUCACAAAUGAUUGAGCGGCUUAAAGAGGAAACCCCAUCAAUGUCAUGUUUCUACUGCGGAAUGAACAGUUCGCACCAGCGUCGGGACGUCACUGUGGCAGUGAUCGUAGAUCACUCAGCCUGUGGAUAUGCGGUUGAUCUGAAAUAUCGUGACACUCCAUAUUAUCAAACUCAUCCUUUCACGCCACUGAAAACCCAACUCAACAAAAACUGACCACACGGGCCGUCCUCUUUCCAUCCCCCACACCCAUUCUCACCGUUGUCUUCGGGGACCAGGUCAAAUAAGACCGUAAGAAGCGCACCGCAUUCAGGGAAAGGUAAAGAAAUAUACAUUUUCCCUCUGGUCCUCUCGCUCACGUUGUCAGACACACAAUCGGAGCCCUUCGCUGGCAACCACAAGCACUUUGGGUGGACUUACAUUGACGAUGAGAAAUAUGAAAUGGGUAAAAUAUAAUAUAUUCCGGGUAUUUCUGGGCAGCGUUUGAGCCCCACAUGACAGGGCGCCCAGCUAUUUCAGUCGGUCAAAUACUGCCACUUUGUCACACCCCUUGAUAUUUGAUACCGAGACACAAGUAUUACAUCCGUGGUCACAGGGUCCAUUUUCAGCUCCGUCAGAUGUAAAGGGGCCGUAUUUUACGGAUGAGAAGGAGUUGUUACAUCGCUGUCUGUUACUUCGUGGAUGUUUUCCGGUGUUUCCCACGCUGCUCUUCUUUUCCGCAGUGUGCAGAAUGCUGCUAGAAGUGUCUUCAAUUGACUGACAGUAGUGAUGAGCCACACACAGCUGCAUAUAUUCAGAAUUUCUGAUUUACUGCUUUGUUUUUGUUAACUCGACCCUGGGUCCCUGGGACCUCUCUCCAUCAAAGUGCCAAAAGUGUAAUUUUGUCUGGGUGAGAUACAAGGCUUUGUACCUCCAGACUUGCUCCUUGUAUAUGGUCAGUAUCUUUGUCCCAAUGUUCAAAAAUACCUAGGAAAAAUAUUAGCAUAGAACUGAAGAUUUAAAUGGUUUAAAGGUUUGAAAAGAAUAACAUUAUUACAUUACAUUACAUGUCAUUUAGCGGACGCUUUUAUCCAAAGCGACGUGCAAUAAGUGCAUUCAACCAUAGGGUACAAACUCAGGAGAACAAGAAACAAGAAAGUGCAAUUUCCUCAAAUAAGCCAAUUUACAAUUUGCUAUAGAUGAGUGACGUUACAAGCACAAUUUAAGUGCUACAACAUGUUAUAUAUAUAUUGAGUGUGAUUAUGUGUGGUUAAUAAUUUUCAAACCUGACUUGGAUAAACAUUACAUUAGCAUUCAUACGUGAAAUGAAAAGAUGAUUAGGGCCACAACUUAACCAAGGCCUUAAAAAUAAUUCUUCUGAGAUAAACGUAUGACAUUGGCUGGUUCAUCACAGCAUUCCAACUCUCAAAGUCAACCCGGUUAUAAUAAUAUGAACGUUUUUCUCUUAAAUUCUGCCAUUUUCUGUUGUCUUUUCAGGGCCUUUCUUCCCAAUAUUGUUUUGGCAGCUCGACUAUGGCAAGCGUGUUUUAUUUCCCCCUGUGGCACUUGGUACCCUACGCACACCACAUGAUGUGCAUGUACAUUGUGCGUUGUCCUAGUUCUCAAUCACCCGAUUGUGGUACCAGUAGACCUCAUCAGCCAAGCGUCAUCUGGUUCAAUUGCUUUCAAGAGAAGAGAGACAUUUCUAUUGCCAAUAAUGAUAACACUUAUCAUCUCACACCAAAACAAACUAGGUUGGUAAAUUGCAAUGCAGGUAAGAGAUGAAAUAAGUCUUUUAAUUCUGAGGUGAAAUGUCCCAUUACAUUUCACUUCUGGAUAUCUCGCUGCCCUUCUAGGGUUUUAAGUUCUGGCCGAGCUUCCCUCCUUGACCAAAACAAUCCAGCACACCGUCUGCAGUCUGAUGAUACAACAUAUAUAAUGCUAUUUAAUUUUUCCAAGCAAAACAAUUCUGUCUUAGAAUAUGCUUAGUAGCAUUUCUUUUGUUCCACAGAAUCUGAACCUGACGUCUCCAAAUCGAAAACUUAUUAGCCACAAGCACACAGCCACAGUUUUAUCAACUGGUUAUCACAGGUAAAGUAGCGCUCAGAGUACUAGGUGCAGUUGAUUUGUCUUUUGGAGAUAAUGUUUCCAUUUUGUUUUAAUAGUGUCAUAAUAGGGGCUUCCACACAAAGUUCUACUUUCUAGUUCCGCUAGAGCAGGGGUCUCAAACUCGCGGCCCGCGGGCCAAUUGCGGCCCUCGGGACGAUAUUUUGUGGCCCCAUCCUUAAUAUGAAAGUGUAAUGUUAGUGCGGCCCGCAAGUUUUAUACUGUAACCCCACUGUCAGCUGCUGUGUGGGACAUGUUAUGAUGUUCUGGUUUCCUACUGUGUGCUUGUUCAGUGAACGUGGCAUGCAUGUGACUGACAUGGGGGGCGGGUCGUGUGUGUCGGCCGAGGUGCAGAGAGCACGAGGGUGAAAUUCAGUUUCCUGCCCUCUUUCGCGCAGGUGAUCAUGUGACUAACCGUUAGCAUCGCUCGUUUAAUAAAGUUUUCCUUUACGACUCACACUAACAACACAUGAAGCAUCUGACGUCACCGACGAGCGUCUCCGUCCAUUACUACGCAGCUUCGAUUCACGUAACUUCACGUUUGGCUAUAAAGGAAUUCCACGGUCACAUGACCUUAGGUCUCCCCCGCUGAGUUAAAGGAGGACUAGUGUUGUAGUCUCAUUCGGACCGAUCCCCCAGGGUGGGGUUCAAUGACUGCUUUUGAAAGUGAGUGUUAAGUUGUGUUAUUGUCGACCAUGCCGUUCGGACGCUAGUCUGGCCCGCGUUCGGUUGAAGUGGGCUGCAUCUGGCCCGCAGCUGAUUUGAGUUUGAGACCCCUGCGCUAGAGCAAUCUUAGUUCUUAACAGAAAUGUCUCAACAGUUGUAUUAGAUAAAGUUAACCAACCAGCGAAGAGAUUCAAUCAGAACAAUUAACGCCUCGAUUGCACUUUUAAACUCAGUAACAGACGGUGACAAAUAGAAACAAUUUAUUGAAUGUUCCACAGAGUCGGCUAAUUGUUCUUGUUGUCUUUUUGUCAGGUAAGUACAUGAAAAUGAAUCUAAAUGGGUUCAUCAUGGCUACAGUUAAGAUGUGAGAUGUUCUAAAGAAUAAUGUGUUAUCUCAAAAUGGUUCCUAAUAUCUUCAAACCGGAUCCAAAUGUGUGUGAUUUCGGGAAAUACGGUAAAAUGGGAUACUCACAGUAGGUUUUUAAGAAACCUUCAAAAGGAGGAACUCUGUGACCAGAGUCUGUCACCAGCAUCUUGUCGAAUCUAGAAUAUUUCAUGCCGUUCCUAACAGAAAAAGGAAUCGUAUCUUGGGCACAAGAUGUACUUACUGAAAUUGACUUUGAGUGCAGAUGAAUCGAUGCUGAUUAUUAUAACCGAUGAACGUGAUGCUCAAGUUACAUCGUUCUGAAAGUCCCUCCUUCACAUGAACAACUAUUUGUUAAGACACACACCGGUAAUUAGAACAAAAACACACUUCUACCGACUUUACCUGGACUAGUUAGCACUUUAUUAGCACUUGCAAUGGCCCUUAACUUUGCACGUUUGUAAUUUGCCAUCCUUGAAGAAAUUGUGCUCGCUUGAUUUUUGUUGUUCAGGUUUUAUAUCCUCUUGUCGCUUUGGACAAAAGCGUCGGCUAAAUAAAAAAAUGUAAAUGUAAUAAUGUCUUUGAACGGAAAGUAUCGAAAGAACGCCUCGAACAAACCGUUAAAUCAAGAACAUUCUAGCGGAAGAUCAGCCACGCCGAGGUCAAUGAGACGUCAAAACACAAGUCUAAAGAAAGGGAUUUAAAAAACACACACACACAAAGGACACAUGCGAUGGGAACAGGCUGUUUAAUUGGGAAGCACAGCUGCACUUGAAAAAUCUCAUUGUCCAGCAGUCGACAAAAAAAAAGAACAGAUUUUCAACAGGGAAGGGUUGUCUUAUUGUCCUUUUUCCUCCAUCUAUUUCUCUCACCUUCUUUUCCUUCCAAAUCUGACGUUACAGGGAGCUUGUAAAAAGAAUCAGAACUAAUUCAAAAUGCCCAAGAGUCUUAAUGGGCAACUUGAUGGCUAUAAAAAAUGUUCCAUCUUUCUUCUUGUCUGUCCACACCUACGCAAAAAUGGCUGCAUGUACAGCAAGUGAAUAUUGCAUGUAGCCGCUCAGAGAGCCUGUGUUUUUUACAGGGCAGUCUGGUGUGUGUGUUAACAGACCGCUUUUGAAGCCUCACUGUGCUCUAUUACAGCACAGUAUGCAUGAAGCCAAACAAACACCCCGGGAAUAGGUGAAGCAAACAGGAGCUCAGUGCCCUGCGACCAUUUAAAUCACAACACGGGCUCUGUGCUGUGUGUAUGUGUGUGUGUACGUGUGAAGGAAUGGGCUACUGGAGGUUAGCACACAAUAAUUCCAACAACUCGAUUAAGCGGGAAAAAACGUGUGUGUUUUAGUGUAAUCACAGGAGAAUGUAGGUGAGUAAAUGGAUCGCAGGCAAAAUUGCAUUCAUGACUUAAAUAGCAUCUAUUUUUCUACGUUUGGCAGACGUGCUGCGGCCAGUGAUUCAUCAUCCUCCUGCAGCCGACGAGAUGAGACUCUGUCCGUCAGCUCCAUUGUGUCGGGAUAACACCCUGAUAAUUAUCUGCACGGCUGCUCUCCUCUUCUCUUCACGCCUCACGUCUGAGUGGGAAAGACAAAGAGCAAGUUUGUAAAAGGGCCUGAAAACUUAGUUAGGUGGUAAGGACGUGGAAAGAGAAGGCGACAGUCGGGGGGAGGGGGGGGGGGGGGUUAGGGGAGGGGCAGGCAGUCGAGCAGACAGAGGAAAAGAGAGGAAGGAGAAAUGAUGAUGAUGAGUGUGGAUAGGCAGGGCGAAUUGAAUCUUUUAAUCUCCCAAAGUGGGAAGAAAGCGACCCGAGGCAUUUGUGAUUGGAUUUACUUUAAGUCCACAAGUAGGUCAAUAGAGCUAGCGUUGCUCAUUAGCAAAGAGGGAGGAGAGGCGUUGGGAGGAGAGCAAGGAAAAAGUUUUGUGUCGAUACAGUGAGCAUCAUUCAUUCGCCCUUUUCUCCUCAGAAGGGGGGGGGUGAAGUUUGGCUGUGUGGCUUUUUGUUUUUGUCAGUCUGAAAAGGGUACUUGAGAAGAAGGCAGCAACUAUAAUAUAAGUCUUGCAAAAGGGCAUUUACAGUUAAUAUCAAUCAAGAUUCUGAUUUCUGAAACCGAGAGGCCUUGAUCAGCCAAAUGAAAGCGACCUGAGGUCAGCAAAGCAGAAAAUACAUGAGGCUGCAUUUGAAAUUCUCAAAAUGAGAAUGGCUGCGUGGCGUACGGAUGAAAGCAUCUGGUUUUGGCAUUUGGCUGGAUAAUAAAGUAUAAUAAUAGUAAUAAUAAGUGCUAAAAGCUUUGUGUAAUUCAUCUUUCCCAGAUUUCCUUCUGCACAAUUAGAUCCUGUUACUAAAGCAUAAUUAGCAACAGGAUGCCAAAGGCAAUUGGAGAGAGGAAGAAACAAGGUGGCAGAGCUGCGGGAAUCAAUGAGAAGAAACUAAAAGGUUAAGUUGAGUGGGGCACAGUUUGUAUGGAAAUGUAUGGUAUAAAUGCCAGGCACAACAAAUUUUUAUAAAACAUUAGUUGUCCCUGGCUGAGCAUUACAGGGCUUUAUCCAAAUAUUAUUCUAAUAUCAUCUUUUAGCUGUUUACAAUAUGAAGUUAAAAACUCAAAGCCUCAAAGCCACGAAUGGAUGACUAAAGCUGCCAAACAAACCCGAUCUUGUGCCCUAGAAAGCGAAACCCAAACACUUCCCUUUGGUUUAUUAAAAGGAGUAGGACAAUUGGUUGCCAUGCCACAUUGCAUUCCGGGUAUUUUGGAGGCUAAUUUGGCAUUAAUCACUGGCCACUCUCCAAACAACACGCCCACCAACACUGACACAUUUAACCAACAAGAUGUUGCGCAUUAACGAGUGAUCUUUUACCUUCUGGCCAGAGCUUUUCCCCCUGCUUCCAGUCUUUAUGGUAUACCAAGCUCACCAGCUCCUGGCUUUAGCUUCCCAUUCAACUCAUGAGUAAGAGUGACAUUGAUCUUCUCAUCUAACUGCGAGCAAGAAGGCAAAUCAGACUGUUCGCCAAAAUGUUGAAGGAAACCGUGCGAACGUCAACUGAGAUGUGUGAAUAGUUUUCUACACGUUGUCGCGUUGGCAAAACCAGUGUGUAAUUAAACACAGUUAGUAAUCAAAUGGUUUACUCUGAAGCAAAAAAGAGGUUGUAUCAGAGUAUUGUUUUUGGUACAAAGCAUAAAUGUAGAAUAUAACAUUUAUUCGUUUGUUUCACGAAUGGUUAAUAAGUGGAUUUAAAGACCGAUUUUUCUCAUUUCCCUUCUAAAAGAUUUUACAAUGAAUAUCAAGCUUGAUUUCCCUGUUUAAUCGCUUUGUUUACAUGUGUUACUUCCAUGAAGCAAAUUAAAUGGCAACAUUUACAAGACAAUACACAAAUAAAUGAUCCAAUGGAAAUUAAGCACACACACACUUGCACACUACACGAUGCACAUCUACACAAAAUUCUGCACACACUUUUAAGAACAUAUCUGUUAAUUUACACACACACACAGACACACACACACACACACACACACACAAUGUCGAAGGAGCUGAUGCUGAAGAAGCAGUGGCGGCCUUUGGGCUGAGGAAAAUGAUUGAUGGAAGAGAGUUGAUGACUGUGUUGGGUGGCUACUCCCUCGCUUUCAUUCUCCUUCCUACCCCUCCCCAUCACUCUCUUUGUCCCCGUGUCUCUCUGUCUCUGUCCAUUCCCUCCGUCACCUUUGUGUCCAAGUCUUCCUCAUUUUCUCCGGUGAUGAGUGAUGGAGGGAGGAUCUGCCAUGCCUCCCCUCGUCCUCCCUGCCGUACAUUGUGUCAGCAUCUCCUGCUUCCUCCACUGUUUGGACCCUGUUCAAUUUUUUUUUUUAAAGAAAAAAACUGUGGGAAAGAUGAGGGUGAGGGACACGGGGAGAGCAUUUCAGUGAUAAGCAAAAAAGGGACAGUGUCUGACUGUCCUUUCUUUUAUCUGGAAAUCCCCAUGUUACCAUUUUCUAUCUGAUUUCCGAAGCCACAAUUUGAACCUAAAAAUGUUGCAUCAUGAACAGAAACCGAGCCAAAGCCUCAGUGGUGACGUCACGUCAAAGAACACUGACGCUCUGGACGCACCAGAAAGUAACAACACCAUUAAAACAUUUCAGAUGGUUAUUAGGAUUAGCAGUGAGAAAUUGAAUGUUGAUAACAUAAUGGGUAAUGGAACCGUCGCUUAUUCUUAUUAGCAAACAGUUGCUAAUUUUAAAAUAAAGACUCUACUGGCAGAAGCGUGGAGGGAAUGAGGGAGGAAAAAAAACAUAUCAAGGGAGAUUAAAGGAAGGAAACCCAGGAAUAUCACAAUUUAAUUGUAAUUUGGGGAUUAUGACAAAUGAUGGGCACUUCAACCAAAGUCCAAAGUCAAACCUGCCCGCGUCCACGUAAGGCCUGACAUUUUAUACAGACCCAGGAGAGGGUUGUAGAGCUGUGCAGCUUCUCUGAGAGCACAAAACCUCUCUCAUUUCCUGAAAGCGCCUAGAAAUCUGAGACAGCACAGAUAACAAAAGUAGUCUUUUCAAAAACAGGAUUUUAAUAGAGGGUUUGGUCCUGUUUCUUAGAAGCACACUUUUUUGUGAAUAACAUUUAUUUAUUUAUAUAUAUAUAUAUAUAUAUAUAUA